GCCGGGUGAGGUGGCUCACACCUGUAGUCCCAGCUACUCCAGAGGCUGAGGUGGGAGGAUAGCUUGAGCCUAGGAAGUUGAGGCUGCAGUGAGCCCUGAUCCUGCCACUGCACACCAGCCUAGGCAACAGAGCAAGAUCCUAUCUCAA
This 148-nucleotide small RNA is filed under the name Pongo abelii (Sumatran orangutan). RNAcentral's name for it is "Metazoan signal recognition particle RNA (ENSPPYG00000037799.1)". The record is from Rfam by way of RNAcentral. Lineage: Eukaryota; Metazoa; Chordata; Mammalia; Primates; Hominidae.